Molecule: ribosomal RNA, 237 nt
Filed under: Triticum aestivum (bread wheat)
Lineage: Eukaryota; Viridiplantae; Streptophyta; Magnoliopsida; Poales; Poaceae
Description: partial small subunit ribosomal RNA
Source: RNAcentral
AUGCAUGCUCUUAGGGAUAUUUUGAUCAAGUAUGAAGAAGCUCCUGGUCAAACAGUUAACUUGCGAAAAUCUUCUAUCUUCUUUGGUAAGGGCUGCUCUGCGGAGACGACGGAACGGUUGAAGCAGGUAGUGGGAAUUGAGUCUGAAGCUUUGAGUGAAAAGUACCUUGGCCUUCCAACACAGGUUGGGAGAUCAAAGGAGGGGACUUUUAAGUAUGUGACUGAAAGUUCCAAAUGA